This 356-nucleotide long non-coding RNA is filed under the name Lathyrus oleraceus (garden pea). Its description in RNAcentral is "Pisum sativum (pea) long non-coding RNA (PSAT_LNC009554)". The record is from RNAcentral. Lineage: Eukaryota; Viridiplantae; Streptophyta; Magnoliopsida; Fabales; Fabaceae.
CCUCUCACAACACGCUGUAGCGGGAAAUUCAUGAUCAUCAAGCUAUUGACAAGCUAGAGAUCAAAUAACAAGAGUCGCCACCGCGCUAUUAUUGUUUCCAAGGGAAAAGGGAAAAGUACGAACAAAACCCAAUUAGUAAGAAGUUUUCAAAUAAAAACUAAUAAAAGUCAGAGAUCACAGGUAAGGGGGUUGGUUACACAGAGGGAAGGUGUUAGCACCCAAAGUGUCCUAGGUACUCAAAAAGUACGAACAAAACCCAAUUAGUAAGAAGUUUUCAAAUAAAAACUAAUAAAAGUCAGAGAUCACAGGUAAGGGGGUUGGUUACACAGAGGGAAGGUGUUAGCACCCAAAGUGUC